Long non-coding RNA from Triticum dicoccoides, 3017 nucleotides. RefSeq lists it as uncharacterized. Lineage: Eukaryota; Viridiplantae; Streptophyta; Magnoliopsida; Poales; Poaceae. The record is from RefSeq and is a predicted model, not a curated record. The transcript has 3 exons.
UUCCUUCCCCACCGCUGUGCUCCCCUCUCCCCAUAGACGCCUCCUACCCUCUGACGCCGCCCCGCGCGAUGGACGCCAUCUCUCCCCUAUUUCCCUCUUCACCUCCACGGCCACGCCGCAUCGCCGGCCAAGCCCCGCUGCGGUGGCUAUGAUCCGCCACGCCACCCCAUAGCCCCACACCCAAAGCUGCAGCCGAGAUGCAUCUGAGCGAGAACGAGGGGAUUGAGGGCGUGCGGUUCGCAAUGACUGUCGGGCAGGGCUUCGUCGGUGCCUAUGCCUGGAGCUGAUCCGCCGCGGCGCCCUGGAGGUCUGCUCCCUCGACAGCUCGACCUGCGCGAUUCCUCCGCUUGGUCCCAGCAGCUCCUCGACGCCGGCGUCCGCUUCUUACAAGGUUCUCUCCCUCACUCUCUUUUGCUUAAAUUAUUGUGUUUUUUUUCUGUCGCCAUGAGUGGGCGUGAGACUUAAAUGCAGCGUCGCAGCGAAGAAGGUAAUUUGUUUUUCUGUCCAAUGCAUUGAAGCUAUAAUGUACGUGCUUAGUAAAUUGUUUAGGGCGGUGUGAGACUUAUAAUGCCUGCCAACUUAGUGAAUUGAUAAACCUGGAAGUUUGUGUUUUUCACUUCACUUGAAUUUGCACAAUUCAGUUAUGUGUUCAUUGAAUGGAUUUGACAUGACAUUUCCUGCAAGCAAUGAGGGAAGUAGAUGGGCAUGGCUGAUCUGUUCGUCAUGCAGUUAUGUGCUAUCUUAUUCCUUGAUGCUGAGUGUGAGUCCAUGCAUGUGCAAGCUAUAUGUACUCUUAGUCUAUUAGUGUUCUCUAACUUAUUUCCUACUAUUCCUGUAUGGUACCACUUCUUCCCUAGCAAGGAUAUGUGAGCCUAUUAACCUUAUGUUGUCUGUCAAUGUCAGAUUUAGAACCCAACAAAGAAAUAUGGCAGAAAUUUGCAUAUUAACCUUUCUUGUGCAGGUUCGAGAUAUAAAGGUCAUAUAGGUGCUUCUUUGCCAUGAGUCUGUAAACUUGAUGAGGCAACAUGGUCUUCAAGCACAAGAAAUACCCAUGUACGUGAGUGUGGGCUGCCGCUCCGCCCUCCACUCCUCUGCUUGACCACCGCCACCGCCAUGUUGAAGCCCCUUGCCACCUAGCGGCAUGCUUUCUCGAGGAUCAGCAGCUAAUGGCAAACGCGCCAGCGAGCCCCGAGUGCGCUGGACCGUGCAACAUGAAGAAGACCAUCUGGACAAAGGGCAGGUACACGAUAGCCAAGAACACAAGGAUACGUGCGGGUCUGCAUUUCUGAGAAUAUAUUGAACUUUGAACUGGAUUUCAGUCAAUCAAAAACCAUCGGAUGCAUUGGCACACACAUAUGGGCAAGAUUAAGCUGAAUUAGAAAAGAGCGGUGCAUACACUGAAUCAGAUUUCAGAACACCAAAUACAGCCGGUUUCAGUCAAAUGGUUGAUCUCGACAAGACAAAGACUGAAUUGGAUGGGGAGCUCAACAGUACAGGCCUUAGCCCCAAUCGUCGGCGCACUGGUUGGGCUCGCUGGGCGCCGGCACAGGACUGGAGACACCUGGGCGCGAAGACCACGCCGAGCGGUGCACGAGGCCGCACAGCUGCGCAUACUACAGAUCAACGCCGUCGCUCGCGGCCAUCCAGCGCGGCCGUCUCGUGAUGCAUGAGGCCAUGCAGGAGCUGCUCGUGCACUCUGGUACAAAUCUACGCCGCUGCCCUCCUCCAUUAGCCGCCGUCUCUUGGUGCCCGCCGUCGCUCGCCUCCAUCCAGCGCCGUCUUUCGGUGCCCGCCGUCGCUCGCCUCCAUCCAGCGCCGUCUCUCGGUGCCCGCCGUUGUUCUCCUCCCUCCAACGCCGCCUAUUGCUACCCGCCGCCACUCGUGUCGAGAGAGGGAGAGGCGAUAGAGUUGCGGGAGUGUGAGGAGAACGACCGGUUUCAUGUGGUCCGCUCGAUUUGGAAGUACGAGCGCGUUCCGCAUCUGAGAGGAAUAUUCGGUUCGUGGGAACUAGUCGGUUACCGUUCCAGCUCUAUGCCAAACAUCAGAACGGGCCUAGAAACGGGUCCGACCCAUAACAUUUCAGUUGAUGACUGCAACCAAACACAUCCUUAGUGACGGAGACUUGCCUGAAUGUUAUUUUCCUCCGCGUGAAGUGCUUACAAUUCUCAAAGGCUUCAACAAGUCCCGGAGGAGAUUGACAAGGUGCAGGCAAGAUCUCAAGUUCAUUGCUGUCUUUUUCUGUCUGAACAUUUUCUUAUUUGGAGUUGCAGCCGAUUUAUGGUGUAUCAACCGACUUGGCUUAGGAUGUAUUGUAGUUAGUUUGGUUGCAUCAAUCAACAAGUCUUAUUAUGUAUUGCUAUUGGUUUGGUACCAUCAAACGACUGGCCAGUUGGAAAACCAGCGGGGAAAACAUGUACUGUAAGCUCCCCUCGCAUUUAUAAUUUGGAGCUUGAUAAACAAUGUUCUGUGAGCUUGUUAAUGAUCUGCUAUUUUUCACAAAAUUGGGACAUGUCUGAUGGUCGAUGUGAGGUUCUCUAAAUAAAAAAAUUCCUCAUUUGUCCAUUCUGACAGUCUGAUGGAAUUUUGUUAAUAAGAACCUACAGUUCCUUGGGUAAGUUUGGGUUAGGAGUUCCGUAUAUAUGCGCCAGGAAAGUAUAUAGGGAAAUCAUGAUAUGCUUUUUCUACAGUGCCAACACUGAAAAUGUAAAGUGUGUCAUGCAUGACUUUUAUAUGUGUUUUAGGAAUUGGAGGAUAGCUCUAUAAACAAAAUUUCUUAUUCUGCACUUCUCUGCUUUGCUUGGCAGGAAUCCUUGUUGUAAAGAGUGAAGGCAUGGUUUGGUUUGCAUGACAUUAUCUUCAAUUGGCUGGAGAUAUAUAAAUGUUGAUACUUGAUUUUCUCAUCUGGCAUCUUAUCACUUUUGUGAAACACACUUGAUUUUCUCAUAGUAAUAGUUCUUUAUUAUUGCUGAUACAUAAAUGGAUCUUUAUUCAAUGGUACUUGUAUGUGUGUAUGGAGA